AUUACACCCAAAACACCAAUCUUCUGACCUUAUUUGAUCCAAUCUGAAUCACAUCCAUGCAAACUCAAAACAUAAAAAGCAAAUCCUUAAUAAUGCCAAGAAAGCAAUAAUUUCUUUUUCCUUUUAAUAACAAACUCAAAAUGAAUUAAACAAAGCCCAAUAAAAUCGGAACAUCAUCAAAAACAUGAAAUCAAACCCACAAAUCUAAAAUAAAAGCGAAAAAAAGUGUUUCAUAGUUGUUACGAUGAUUAGAUGGGACAAAUCUGGACUACUGGGUCUAUGGUCAAAGAGAUGCAGAAAAGUCUAGGUGAAGACUGAAGAGAAUGGAGUGACCAGAAGGAACACCAGUUUCGAAGAUCCAAAGGCAGUUUGUUUUGCAGCAGCAACAACAUCAACAACCUUUGCCACAGCUGCAACUUUUACAGCAACAAUAUCAGCAACACCCACAGUUGCGGUGAGGGACAAGUGACUGGAGACUUGAGACGGGUGAGGGAUUUGCCUAAACUCCUCAGAAAUUGAUGAAGAAGAACUGAAGAAGGAUGGAGGGUUUGAUUUAGGGCUUUUGAUUUUUUAUUUGGGGGGUUUGAUUUCGGGAUAGGAAUUAGGAAAUAGGAAUGAUAUUUUGAUUUGGGAAAAAC
This 638-nucleotide long non-coding RNA is filed under the name Gossypium raimondii (Peruvian cotton). RNAcentral describes it as "long non-coding RNA (GRAI_LNC008150)". The record is from RNAcentral. Lineage: Eukaryota; Viridiplantae; Streptophyta; Magnoliopsida; Malvales; Malvaceae.